AGAGAAUUUCUUUAACCUACAAGACAAAAUUUAGCCUUAAUUGGUCUUGAAAGCAAUAAGAAAUGCUGUUGAAUUGUAUGAAAUUGAUGAUGGCUGCCCCUGCCCUCGAUAAAGCCUACAUGGCUGCUCCCGAUUGGCUGGCCAGCCGUGUGCACCGGUUUACCAAUAGUUGAGAAGGAUGAGAUUUCCAUCAUUGUCCUACAAAUAUUCCCGAGCAACUUAAAACGCUCCGUUUUAUCCCCUCAAGUAGUUAAUUAUUGAAGAUUUCAAGUAAUAAGUUUGAUUAGCUGUUAAAUUUUAAUUAUUUAUUGCUUUUAUAAAUGGAUUAUCAACUUAUAUAUUAAUUAAAAUUUUGUUUAUUUUGUCCAACUCACUUUUCUCCUUGAAUUUUUAUUUACAUAAAGUCUUUUUUUUAUAAAUAAAAUCUAUUAUUAUUUUAUAGAAAUUAAAAUUAAACUUUUAUAUUACAAAAAUAGCCAUUGAUUUAAUUAAAUAAAUUUUUUUUUCUAUAAUAUAAUACAUUAGAUAGACUGAAAUUUAAAAAGAUUUUAUUAAUACUUAUUAAGUGAAUUAGUUUAAUAAAUUAAAAAUUAAGAAAACAAAAAACUACACUUACACCUAUAUAAAUAAUAAAAAAUAAAACUUGAUAUAAAAAUUUAUUAUAAUUUUUAUUAAUUAUGCAUAGUCUCUUAUACAAAUUUACUAUAAUGUUGAAUUAAGUGAAUGAUACAUCUAUAAACUAUAUAUUAUAAAGUUAUAAAUAAAGUAUAGAAUAUAAAUUAUUUUUAUUUUAAAUGUAAUAUAUUAUAAUUUUCAACCAAUUAAAUACAGUUAAAAUUUUAUUAAUUUAUUUUUAAUAAGUUUUAAUACAAAUCAAUCUGAAAGGAAAUAAAAGGUUUUUUAAUUAUAUUUUAGAUUUUCAGCUUUUCCAUGGUGAAAAAAACGUUUUAUUUAUUUUUUUCAUUUUUAAUCAAUUUUAUGCAAAUCAAUUUAAAAGAAAUAAAUGUUUUUUUUUUACUUUAUUUCUAAGAUAAUAUUUAAUGUACAUCACAUAUUAAAAUCAUUAUUUUAGUUUUUCAGCUUUAUAAAGUGAAAGCAACUUAUUUUUUUUAAUUUUAAUUAAAUUAUGCUAAAAUAAAACUUAAUUAAAAGAAUUUAAGUAAAAUAAUUAAAAAGUUUUAAACUUAUAUAAACUUUAUAAAUAAUUAAAUAACAACAAAUUGAAAUACGUUAAUUUAAUAGUUGAUUAGAUUUAGUUUUUAUUAUAAUAAUACAAGUAUUUUAGAUUUUUUUUAAUUUUCUUCUCAGAUAUGAAUUAUAGACUAUAAAAAAAUUUAAAAUUCAAAAAUAAAAAAUAAAAAUAUAAUAAAAAAAUAAAUUUCAUUAUUAAUUUUUUAGAAUAUUAUCAAACUUUUUGAAAAAAAAAAUAAAUUUGCAAUUAUUAGUUAAUUUUUAAAAUAUAUUAAUUAUUUUUUUUUAUUUUUUUUGAAUCGAAAAUUGAAGGUUGAAGGAGUAGAACUGAAAUCUCUCGGCUUUAUUCUAAUGCACUUUAACAUCAGAUUAAACAUGUGAGUGCAAUUAUAUUUUUUUAAAUAGAAGUUACGUUUUUAAUAAAUUUUAUACUCUUUUAAUUAUUUUUAUAAAAUUUUGUAUUGUAUUAAAGUUUAAUAUGAGUAGAACUAAAAAAUUGUAAUUUAUGUAAACACUACAAUUAAAAAAUUUUCACUAAAGAAAUAUUAAAUGAGUAUUGGAUUGUUAGCAUUGACUUUCUUUUAUUUCAAUAAAAUCUCUUUUGGAUAAGAAUUAAUUGGUGAUAUUUUAUGAGCAAUAUCUUACACGUGAAAAAGACUAAUUCCGAACAUCAAUCUGAAAAAUCUAAAAUGUGUUGGAAGAGGAUGAAAAUGCAUAACAAAGUAAAUAUUUUUAUGAAAAAAAAAUUAUUAAUUAAUUUUUUUUAAUUUUAAAAAAUAUAAUAAAAUAUUUACAACAUUUUAAAAAAUUAUUUAAUUCUUAUAAUUUUAAAAAAAUUUAUUAGUUAAAUUUUUUAUUUUUAAUUUUAAUUUUAGUAUGGAAAAUAUUUUAAAUAUUUUUGUAAUAUUUAAUAUUUAAAAUAAUUGAGUGAUUAAAUAAUAAUUUUUUAAAAAUAUUAUAAAUAUUUUAAUAUAUUUUUAAAAAUUAAUUAACGAAUUUUUGCAGAAACUAAAUUAUAAUUUUUUGAAAAAAGAAAAACAAGAGAAAGAACCUAUCAACAAAGUGUCAUUCAGUAGACCGAAACUUACCUCAUUGUCGC
RNAcentral lists this long non-coding RNA (2290 nucleotides) under Manihot esculenta (cassava). Its description in RNAcentral is "long non-coding RNA (MESC_LNC007626)". The record is from RNAcentral. Lineage: Eukaryota; Viridiplantae; Streptophyta; Magnoliopsida; Malpighiales; Euphorbiaceae.